Molecule: ribosomal RNA, 206 nt
Filed under: uncultured bacterium
Lineage: Bacteria
Description: partial 16S ribosomal RNA
Rfam family: Bacterial small subunit ribosomal RNA
Source: RNAcentral
UGCGUAGGCGGUGCGGAAAGUUGGGUGUGAAAGCCCUCGGCUCAACCGAGGAAUUGCGCCCAAAACUGCCGCACUAGAGGAAGACAGAGGUACGCGGAACUUAGGGUGGAGCGGUGAAAUGCGUUGAUAUCCUAAGGAACACCGGUGGCGAAAGCGGCGUACUGGGUCUUAUCUGACGCUGAGGCACGAAAGCUAGGGGAGCGAAG